Oreochromis aureus is the source of this 7958-nucleotide long non-coding RNA. The record is from Ensembl. Lineage: Eukaryota; Metazoa; Chordata; Actinopteri; Cichliformes; Cichlidae.
GACUUUAUUCUUCAUCAAAAACUGAUUCUAGGGUUUUGGGUCAUACUGGCUGUCAGUCCUGUCACAAAGAGACGUUUGAGCACUAUUUGGCUUUCAAGUUAGUGCUCAAAGUAUUUUAACCUGAAUUCAGUUAAUCAAACAGUGUCGAUUGACAUAGCGGGUGGAAAACACAACAGUCAUGGUCAAACAUUUUUGCGGAUUGUCUGACUGAUGAUGUGCUUUGCUGUGUGGCACAAACCAUCCAACAAGUUUGUCCUUCAGACUUGGUGAGUGAGAUUCUAGUAUUUUAUUAGUUUUAACCAUCUUAUAUGUGUAUCCUAACCAAGCUUAGCAUCAAAAUGCUAACAUUGAAGAUAGCUAAGCAUAAACAAUCCCUGGACAAACCAGUCCUUAGGACAUAUUUACUUUAUUAAUAUAUAUGUUUUUGAAAAAGUUGAAAGUGAAAAAUUGGAGAGAAAAUAAAGAAAGACAUACUGUAGCAAUACAAUAAUGUGUGUCUCUAUACAGCCAUUUUAGUUAGCACUGAUGUCAGAAGCAGUGUCAUCACUUUAUCCUUUUGACGAUCACAAACAUGUUCAGUUUGCUACUCGGUUAUUUAGAAGUUAUUGUGCGUAUUUACUGUUUUGGUGUACAUGCUAACUUCUAACCUCUACAAGGCAAAACUACUAUUGGGUCAAAGGUUGCUGCAUCCUCAGUAUGAUGAAUCAAGAGGCCAGAAAUCACAAGUUGGUUUUUAUACCAAGUAUUUCAUACUUUUUAUUUCCAUUUAUAAGUAUUCAUUUCAAGUCGACAAUUUACAUCACAGCCCAUUGGCUCUCUGGAAUUGUCAGUAUAAUGUAUAUCAGCCAUAGGGACGAGGGGAAUAGCGGGUAAGACUGCGGGACCCAGAAAAGCCUAAAACAUGAGGAGGAGGACAGGGGGGGAGGAAACUGUGGUUUCUGCCACCAGAUCCCAAACUCGGCCCAAAUCAACACAGUGUUUGCCUCUCUGUGAUGAUCAUCAUCAUCAUCUUCAUCAUUCAAGUUGUUGUCAUCAGUCCAGUGCUGUUGUGCAGAAGGAAAAUGCUGGAGGGCGACUCCUCAUGAUGUCCCUUCAGCUGCACUCUUCACACAAGCAGCGAAGGCCUCCAUCAGAUCUUUGCAGCCCUCGGCUCCCUUCUCUGCCACACUGGAGGAAAGAUUAACGACAGUUAGAACUCGAUCAAGUAAACCCACGUACCGGAGUUAAGCAUCACGGUGCCGGUUUUAUCAGCAUCAGCUGAAUCAACUGGAUCCCAAUCCAAGGACUUCUGUUGCCAAAACACAUGCAUGUUUGGUGUGCUAACAUUGGUAGAAGCGAAAACAGGAGCAACAGCUCUCAACAAGAGAGAAAAGAUGAAGAAUGGGAAGAAGGGAUGAAUGUGACAGAGCGAGAGAGGAAGAGAGAUUUCAAGCUUGGGAAUAAUUUCAGGCUCCCCAUUCAGGAGCGAACACAGCAGCCGACACUGCCACAGUGCAUUAGGGUGAUGGAGCAAGAGGGAGGGAGGGAGGGAGCGGGAACAGCCAUGUGCGUGGACCCAUCUGUUUGAUCGGACAUGAGAGAGGGAGGGAGGUUGCGUGAUAAUGGGGAGAUAACAAGACACAGAGGUAACAGGGGGAGGCCACAGGAGGAGAGGGUUCAUGUUACAUGAACGUAAACCAAUUGACUGGCUCCUCCUACGCCUUCACGAUGCCUCAUUAUCUCUGUGCUCCACUUUUCCUGCAACCCACCGAAGAGCAGGGGCCUCAAUCCCUCCAUCCCGACUCCAAUUCUAUUGACAACGGUUCCUACUCGCUGCCAAAAUAAAGGCUUUGCUUUCAUCCAGCAUGUAGAUUUACUCACUUAUACGGUAUAACUUUUAUAAGUAUUGGUUUUUAAUCUGUCUGCUGCUUUUACCUUUCCUUUAUGAUCAGAAGAUUGGUUUUCCUUUUAUUCAUUUGGCUGCCAUUUUGGUGAUGUCAGCAGACAGUUAACCCCUUGAGUGGGUAACUCUAACCCUAACUCCACCCUAACCCUAAUUUGGAGAAUGGGAAAACAAAUUUUCUGGGAAAAGCACACACACACACACACACACACACACGUCAGGUAUUGCUAUCCUAGUGGGGACAUCUCAUUGACAUAAUGCUUUCCCUAGCCGCUUACCCUAACCCUAAACCUAACCAUAACCCAAUUGUAACCCUGACACUAAAACCACAUUUUGAGUGUUAAAAAUGCCUCCAAACUCGUGGGGACCAAUAGGGCUGGAGGUCCCCACAAGGAUAGUAAAUUUCAGAUUUGGUCCCCACCAAGAAAAGAAAAAGCGGUACACGCACACACACACACACACACACACACACACACACACACACACACACACACACACACACACACAGCGCCAGGACAUUGUUAGCUUACUUUAAACUGUAAGCUAGCUGUAGGGAACAGCUAGCUUACAGCUUUGGUAUGGUAAAAGUAAAUUUUUUCUGAUUUUAUUUAUAUAUUUAUUUAUGUACUGUUAUAUUAUUGUUAUUGUGAAUUUUUUUUCUUCAAAUAGGUGAAAACCUGACAUUGGGAUAUUUGGUCACAUGUGGAGUAUUCAUGCUAAAUUAAGCUAACCAGCUCCAGAGUAACUAAAAUAAUGUACCGAAAAUAUGAUGAAAAGAGGUCAGUUUCAUUUUCAGCCUUCAACAUGCAACAGAGUGGAAUACAGUCUAUUCUGUAAGUCUGAAAAGUGUGUCAGAUCCAUUUUAAUACACCAGCUGAGCUACACAGAGCAUACUGCUUUAUCGUUUCAUAUUGUGCCCUGGCGCCUUCAGAGUGAUGUAACGUACAGCUGGCUGCUGCAGAUUAUCACUCAGCACUUUACUUUGCCAGGAGAGAUGGAGAGAACGGUGUGUGUCUGCUGCUUGGCGAGGGUGUGCAAGGAAAUGGGAGUGGGGCAUUGAGUGGUUAUGUUGCACGCACUGCAAUAAUGACCCAACAUCAGAGCUGUGCAGAAUCUAACCCUGAGGCUGUGUUGCCAGAUAAUCCUGCCACAGUGCCAUCAACAUGCAUGUACAUGUCUCUGAAUCAAACCCACAAGAAGAAGAAGAACAGGAACAUUAUUGUACUUGUCAAAAUAAAAUGAUGGUUUUGUUUCAUCUCCUUUAUGUUUCAAAAGAAAUAAUUAACCGUUAUUAUGUGGCUGUGCUGCAGAUGAGUUCUCAUUUGAUUUAGCAUUGUUAAAUAAAUAAAGUCCUAUUAUCUGCAAGUGAACAAAUAUCAAGAAAAUAUAGGGAUUACAUAAAGCAUAAGAGCAGGGUGCUCACAUGCAUGGGCAGACGAGGGUAACGAGCUGAUGACAUCAUCGCAACUAGAGCCAUCACGCAAUCUUCUGAGAGAGAGAGAGAGAGAGAGAGAGAGCGUGAUUCUGAAUGAGUGUGGUACAAACAACCAGGUACAAAACCAAUUGGUUGUUUCAAUGAAUACAUGACCACAGACUGAAUGAAAGCAGCUGUACACCACUGAGCACUAGUAUCCUGAUCCAAGCAUGUCCAGGUCCGAUUGCCACUCUGCACGGGGUGGAGGAGGGACGUUGUCUCCUUGUCUUGGACACAAUCAGGAAGUGAAAUCUGAAUUAUUUAGGCUGGGCUUGCUAUAGUCAGUCCACUGGGACCAACAUGUAUAAUAGAUCAGCGAGCAGGUGCAGAAGGGUAAAAUGAUGAUGCAGACGCCAGGAUUUAGUCAGGAGAUCAUGUGAUCAGAGGUGAGCAUGCUGUGUCACUGUCCUGUGAGGUAGCGAUGAGAAUCAUAAAACACAGAGUUUAUUAGGACGGUGAUUCUCCAACAUUUCUGCUUGAGACUUUUUAAAACAACACUAUGUCAACAAGUUAAGACCCGAAGAAUGAAAGUAUGGAUGUGCCACUUUGUCCCUUUCAUGUAUUAGCUUAUCUAAGCAUCUGAGUCUUUCAAAAAUCUGCUUUUGUAAAAUGCACUUUAAGUUCAAUAUUGGGUGUGCUGCAAGUAAUGUGAAGUGAUAAAAUGUAAAUAUGACUUUAUGUUCACUGCCCUUUUGUGUGAAAAACAAACCAAAACAAUGAAUAAACCGAUUACACAGGCGUCAGCGCUGUUGUCCGUUCAGCAUGGUGAGCUGGAGGAGAAGAGGCUGUAGUAGUGCUACACUCAGAUUACUGACGUCUGCCGAGUCACCAAAUUCCAGCCGGAAAUUAAAUGCAUGUGUGUCCCUACAGCUGCAGGCGAUCGGGCCCAAAGAGGCCGACUGUGGAAGUGAGUGUGAGAGUGUUUAUUGAAGGCAGAGGAAGAAUAAGGCCAGCGUGUCCAUGGCUCCUAUGGCCAACAUUCAGCAUGUUCACUGUAGGAGGAGCCAUGGCGUGCAAACAGGUGUCUAAACCAGCCUUUACCUCAUUUUUGAGGAGACUUUAAGACUGUGGCUACUCUUCACUGGGCUAUUUAUGACCAUUUGGUACUUUAACUUUGCAAUUUCAUUAAAGUAAUACUAUGUUUUGUUGCAUUUAUGCAAUUAUUGAAGUUUAAGAAGAGCUUGCUCUUUAAAAAAAAUACAUUGUUAUUAUACCAACAAAACAGAACAACCUGAAGUAGAGGAAGUAAAUAUGUGUUGGUAUGUCUAUGCUUAUGUUAAAAGCUAAAGUGAUACUUUCAGUCCUACCUGUAUUUUUGCAAAUGAAUCAUAAUAAAUAAAACACGUAGCAGCCCAGGUACAUACAGGUAUAGGUUACAUGUUUUUCCAACUACACAAUUUAAUGGAAGAAUUUUCAGCAGCAAUAAAUAGAAGUCACAUUGAUAAACAUGGCACAUUGCCUUCUUUUAUAAAUGCAUUUGUUUAUAUAAAUGAAUUUAAAUAAAUGAAGGGAGCCACUGGAGGUUGGUUUGAGACCUCUGGUUGAAACAGAUAACAGAACAUAUGAUUCAUUUAUCCAUAAGAGCAAUUUUUGAAAAAUGUAUGAAAUAAAAAUAUAUUAAUAAUUUAUAAUGUUUGUAACACUUGAAUAAUGCUAGUUAGUCAUAUCUUGAAUAAUAAGUUCAGUUCAUCAUAAAUGUCAAGGAAAAUAUAGUUGAUAUACUGUUCAUGCAUUACAUUUUAGUAUUUAGCCUGCUCACUUCACCUCUGUGUGACUUUGCCACUGUGACCUUGACAGGGUCAUGGCCAUAUUAAAAGGCUAAAAGCCAUAGAAAUGAAUUCUCUCACAUGAAAAACUUGAAUGUGUGAACAGAAUUUGCAAAAUCAGUUUAGUCCAAAUCAGAACAAGUUCAACGAGAUUCCUGUCAUAAGAACCUGAGACCCAAAGACAUCAUGGCUGCCCUAUAUGUUACCAGCUGGGUGUGAAAGGGAAGCAUUUGCUUAUUUGGCUGCCCUGCUUAAAAAGGAGCAGGUGUCAGGUGGAGCAGUAAUGUGACCUAUGACUAGUAACAUGCAAUGAUACCCAGCAUAUACAGUCACACUCGUAACAUUUCUAUCCAUGACUUUGACAAGCCGCUGUCUAUAAAUACGCAGGUAUUUCUGAUAUAUUGCUUACAUAGGGCAGAGCCCUGUUGGCUCCAUCAUAUAAGUGAGCAUGUAUACUGAUGCAACAGUCCUAUAGAGAGUUGACUUGUAUAAAUCGUACCUUAAACCUAAGAAGUUAAUUUGAAUGUCAGUAUCAGCAAAAUAAAUCUACCUUUAGUUACAUGUAACGUCUUAAUUUUAGGAGCAAAGCUGAAUGAGUGGGGAUUCCCAACAACUAAGAGGUUAGACUUUCAAUUAAAUAUAAAAAAGUCUGUUUACAGAUCUUAGGGAAUUAGAACGAUGGGACCAUGCCGAGAAUGCUAGCAUUAGCUGCUACCAGCAUGACACACCCCUGUAGUUUUAAUUUAACAUUUAGCUGCUAAUUGCUAAGCAGGUAAGUGCUGUGUGUUUACCAGCUAGUACCUAAUUGUCCCAUUCGUGAUGAAUGGAUCAUUUACAAGGACCAUGUGGCCAAAAACAGCACUGUAAGAAGGCAAACAACAAACCAGGUCUGUGAAGCUAGCUUAAACUAAUAGCUAAAAUUCCUGAGAAAACUCUGUAAAGCUGCUGAUUCUGAUGACAUUUCUGAGUAAGUUCAACACACACACACUGAUUUCACAGUGGUUGCUGUUCUGCACUCACUGUUGAUUAAUUUGUUUGCAUAAUUAUUUUUCUGUUAAAUGUAUCCCUAGUUUAAAAAGUGAUGCCACAGAGAUUACAGGUUAUGGGACAAACAUCAGUGCAGGACAACUGUCUCCCUCAGAUUAGAGGACAAAUAGUGCUGGUGCUGCCUGAUUUUUAACCUCUCAAAAUUAGUUUCAGGUCAGCUUCAUGCAAUGACCCGCAUACAGUAUAAUCUUGUAAAACCACGAUAUGCCGCGUGAGCAACAGAACGUCUUAUCACCUUGAAACAUUUUGCGUUGUACUUUCAAAUACUCUUGAGAGUGCCAGCUUUGGCCAGAGUGCCCAGUGUAUGCUUUAACAUAAGAGGAACUGAAGUUAUCAAUCAGUUAUCAGUUGUAUAUUAUCAUUUGAAUAUAAGUUAAACCUCAACAUUCACCUAGAAAUAUCAGAGGCAUCUUAAAGGUCAUCAACACACUGGAGCAUGAUUAGCCAAUGAGCCAUGCCAUGCCUUCCUUCCCCACUCAACCUGCUCGCUUAUCUAAUAGCUUCACACAUUCAUAUCCACCUUAUCAAGACUAAACAGGCUGGCUGAAGAAAACUGGGCAGCUUUUGCUAUCAAUAAAAUGUGUUUACUUUGUCAGCGCAUAAUUAUUAACGCCAGAAAAGGUCAAAUUCCAACUACAACUAAAGAAAUCACUAGGAAAACUGUUCCCUGCAGUUCAUUGAACUAGACUGUAAAGAACUCAGACCUCUAAAUGUCUGUAGUAGUGUUGUCUCAUUGCUAUCCUCCAUUCUCACAAAGCAGCAUCUGUUGUGUCCGUUGACAUAGCAAGAGGCUAAAGGAGACACUGGAUAUGAACAGAACGAGCUAACGCAAGGAAUUCUGGGCAAAGGGAGGCAAGUGACGUAAGCAGAUUCCCAGCCUCCAUCCAUCCGUAUGGGCAAGCAUCGAGCAUCACCACCGCUGUCACGCAUCAUUAAUCCCUUAAUCGCUCUGCCCUACAUGGGGUACCCUAAGUUUUCAUAACCCUCAAACUUGCGCUCAGCUAGGCUGUCAAAUUCAUUUACAUCUCAACACACAAGAUGUGGAGACUUUUAGCGCAAACGCCAAUGACCGCUGAAGCGACUCCAUUUUGGGAUGGCGCAUUUUAGGAUGCCGCAGUCCACGAACAGCCGCUGCCACACAUGCAAGUCUCCCCCUUAAUUUGGGUGCCAUGGUGUUUUUCUUUCCAGCUUGAUAGCUCAUUAAGUAACGGCCAAGAACAUCACGAAUGGUCCGGAUAAUUCGGUUUUGAAUUCUCAGCGUGUAAACGUUUAAAGGCAACUCUGAGAGUCAGAGGUGAACUUGUGUAGACAUCAAAGGUGUACCCAAGAACUGCAAGAGGUUCCUAUUAUGUUUUCGGCAUCCGGGAUAAGAACCUUUCUUCAACUCUAAAGGAUAUGCAAAUAUGCAAAUGAAAAACAUAUAAACUGUUUUUCUCUUAUUCACUCCAACAUGCACGGAGUCACCUACCACUUGUCCAGGUCAGCCUUGAUGUUUGCACAAGCAGCAGGGACGGGGGCCUCAGCAGGGGCGGCGGCGGUUUCAGAGUCCGACAUGUCUGUGGUGGUGCUGCUACGUGGUGUUGAGGGUGCGUGUCCUGUCCAGUUCUUGUCCUCUGAACGCCUAUGGAUCCCAGCGCCACCAACGGAGACAGACAGAGAGAGAAAGUAGAGACGUGAGCGAGCUGGUGAAAGGGGAGGGGAGCACAGCGGGAGGUGGGAGGAGAUAAAACAUGUGAGAGGGGAAGCACACGUGUGUACAGUCAAGAAUUGAGGGAGGGGGCGGAAGAGG